This 404-nucleotide ribosomal RNA is filed under the name Actinomycetes bacterium. Its description in RNAcentral is "Actinobacteria bacterium partial 16S ribosomal RNA". It matches the Rfam family "Bacterial small subunit ribosomal RNA", at positions 355 to 776 of the family's 1533-position model. The record is from RNAcentral. Lineage: Bacteria; Bacillati; Actinomycetota; Actinomycetes.
UGGGGAAUAUUGGACAAUGGGCGCAAGCCUGAUCCAGCCAUGCCGCGUGAGUGAUGAAGGCCCUAGGGUUGUAAAGCUCUUUCACCGGUGAAGAUAAUGACGGUAACCGGAGAAGAAGCCCCGGCUAACUUCGUGCCAGCAGCCGCGGUAAUACGAAGGGGGCUAGCGUUGUUCGGAUUUACUGGGCGUAAAGCGCACGUAGGCGGACUUUUAAGUCAGGGGUGAAAUCCCGGGGCUCAACCCCGGAACUGCCUUUGAUACUGUAAGUCUUGAGUAUGGUAGAGGUGAGUGGAAUUCCGAGUGUAGAGGGGAAAUUCGUAGAAAUUCGGAGGAACACCAGUGGCGAAGACGGCUCACUGGACCAUUACUGACGCUGAGGUGCGAAAGCGUGGGGAGCAAACAGG